RNAcentral lists this ribosomal RNA (635 nucleotides) under Escherichia coli O26:H11. RNAcentral's name for it is "bacterial SSU rRNA". It matches the Rfam family "Bacterial small subunit ribosomal RNA", at positions 540 to 1175 of the family's 1533-position model. Lineage: Bacteria; Pseudomonadati; Pseudomonadota; Gammaproteobacteria; Enterobacterales; Enterobacteriaceae. The record is from RNAcentral.
GUUAAUCGGAAUUACUGGGCGUAAAGCGCACGCAGGCGGUUUGUUAAGUCAGAUGUGAAAUCCCCGGGCUCAACCUGGGAACUGCAUCUGAUACUGGCAAGCUUGAGUCUCGUAGAGGGGGGUAGAAUUCCAGGUGUAGCGGUGAAAUGCGUAGAGAUCUGGAGGAAUACCGGUGGCGAAGGCGGCCCCCUGGACGAAGACUGACGCUCAGGUGCGAAAGCGUGGGGAGCAAACAGGAUUAGAUACCCUGGUAGUCCACGCCGUAAACGAUGUCGACUUGGAGGUUGUGCCCUUGAGGCGUGGCUUCCGGAGCUAACGCGUUAAGUCGACCGCCUGGGGAGUACGGCCGCAAGGUUAAAACUCAAAUGAAUUGACGGGGGCCCGCACAAGCGGUGGAGCAUGUGGUUUAAUUCGAUGCAACGCGAAGAACCUUACCUGGUCUUGACAUCCACGGAAGUUUUCAGAGAUGAGAAUGUGCCUUCGGGAACCGUGAGACAGGUGCUGCAUGGCUGUCGUCAGCUCGUGUUGUGAAAUGUUGGGUUAAGUCCCGCAACGAGCGCAACCCUUAUCCUUUGUUGCCAGCGGUCCGGCCGGGAACUCAAAGGAGACUGCCAGUGAUAAACUGGAGGAAGGUG